CCCUGGCUCAGGAUGAACGCUGGCGGCGUGCUUAACACAUGCAAGUCGAACGAUGAAGCCCAGCUUGCUGGGUGGAUUAGUGGCGAACGGGUGAGUAACACGUGAGUAACCUGCCCUUAACUCUGGGAUAAGCCUGGGAAACURGGUCUAAUACCGGAUAGGAGCGUCCACCGCAUGGUGGGUGUUGGAAAGAUUUAUCGGUUUUGGAUGGACUCGCGGCCUAUCAGCUUGUUGGUGAGGUAAUGGCUCACCAAGGCGACGACGGGUAGCCGGCCUGAGAGGGUGACCGGCCACACUGGGACUGAGACACGGCCCAGACUCCUACGGGAGGCAGCAGUGGGGAAUAUUGCACAAUGGGCGCAAGCCUGAUGCAGCGACGCCGCGUGAGGGAUGACGGCCUUCGGGUUGUAAACCUCUUUCAGUAGGGAAGAAGCGAAAGUGACGGUACCUGCAGAAGAAGCACCGGCUAA
This 470-nucleotide ribosomal RNA is filed under the name Micrococcineae bacterium CL7.93. Its description in RNAcentral is "bacterial SSU rRNA". It matches the Rfam family "Bacterial small subunit ribosomal RNA", at positions 17 to 500 of the family's 1533-position model. Lineage: Bacteria; Bacillati; Actinomycetota; Actinomycetes; Micrococcales. The record is from RNAcentral.